CUGAGGGGUCGGCGGCCGGGUGCUGUGGGCAUGGCCUCCGGGGCUUCUGGUGCUGCGCCCGGGUGCUCGGGGUGGGCGGUGUGUGGAGCUGCUGGCCCUGAGCUGACGGCUGUUCGAGUCCCGUCGCUGCUGCCCGCCUUUCCGAGGUCAGGCCAACCUGACCUGCAGAUGCUUCUUGGGCUGCCAGGAGCCAUGAGGAGGAGGAGGGAGCACUGAAUGGGACAAGACACGUGGAGCUCAGAGGCCCUGGGCCAAAUUUCCCAAGCUGGUGAUGAUUCUGCAGGUCAGCUUGCCCUGGGUGCUUUUGUUUAUUGGGUGGUCACCCUCUCAUGUAAGCAUUGAAGCCCUGACUUUGGACACCCACUCACAGAUCUGGCUCAAUGACCUAACAGCCUGUGCCAGUCACCGUGGUAGGUGCUUUAUAAGGGUCUGUUUGCUGCGAAACUCAGGACAGACGCACACAUACACACUAGCCUACAGCCUGGGGGCUCCGCCAUGUGCCCCACAGAUGUGCCUGGCCUGGGAUUGUCUGACCCUCCUUAGGACUGCACAACAAAGGUGAGAAAGAGUGCUGCCUUUCUGUUUUGUGACAUUUUUGUGAUGGCAUGGAUAUAUUUAUGAAAUCUAGCCCUGAGGUUCCCCCUUUUCUGGAAAGAUAACACAUGAAGAAUU
This is a long non-coding RNA of Ochotona princeps (American pika), 672 nucleotides long. RefSeq lists it as uncharacterized. NCBI's taxonomy places the organism in Eukaryota, Metazoa, Chordata, Mammalia, Lagomorpha, Ochotonidae. The record is from RefSeq and is a predicted model, not a curated record. The transcript has 4 exons.